UUCCGGUUGAUCCCGCCAGAGGUCAUUGCUAUUGGAGUCCGAUUUAGCCAUGCUAGUUGCACGAGUUUAGACUCGUAGCAGAUAGCUCAGUAACACGUGGCCAAACUACCCUAUAGACGGCGAUAACCUCGGGAAACUGAGGCUAAUAGCCGAUACAGUUCACUGCCUGGAGUGUCGAGAGCUGGAAACGUUCCGGCGCUGUAGGAUGUGGCUGCGGCCGAUUAGGUAGACGGUGGGGUAACGGCCCACCGUGCCGAUAAUCGGUACAGGUUGUGAGAGCAAGAGCCUGGAGACGGAAUCUGAGACAAGAUUCCGGGCCCUACGGGGCGCAGCAGGCGCGAAACCUUUACACUGCACGACAGUGCGAUAGGGGGACUCCGAGUGCGAGGGCAUACAACGCCCUCGCUUUUCUGCACCGUAAGGUGGUACAGGAACAAGUGCCGGGCAAGACCGGUGCCAGCCGCCGCGGUAAUACCGGCAGCACGAGUGAUGGCCGAUUUUAUUGGGCCUAAAGCGUCCGUAGCCGGCCGAGCAAGUCUGUUGGGAAAUCCACGCGCCCAACGCGUGGGCGUCCAGCGGAAACUGUUCGGCUUGGGGCCAGAGGACUCGAGGGGUACGUCCGGGGUAGGAGUGAAAUCCCGUAAUCCUGGACGGACCACCGAUGGCGAAAGCACCUCGAGAAGAUGGACCCGACGGUGAGGGACGAAAGCUUGGGUCUCGAACCGGAUUAGAUACCCGGGUAGUCCAAGCUGUAAACGAUGCUCGCUAGGUGUGCCGCAGCUACGAGCCUGCGCUGUGCCGUAGGGAAGCCGAGAAGCGAGCCGCCUGGGAAGUACGUCCGCAAGGAUGAAACUUAAAGGAUUGGCGGGGG
RNAcentral lists this ribosomal RNA (871 nucleotides) under uncultured haloarchaeon. RNAcentral's name for it is "bacterial SSU rRNA". It matches the Rfam family "Archaeal small subunit ribosomal RNA", at positions 1 to 874 of the family's 1478-position model. The record is from RNAcentral. Lineage: Archaea; Methanobacteriati; Methanobacteriota; Halobacteria; Halobacteriales; Halobacteriaceae.